AAAAAAAAAAAAAAAAAAAAAAAAAAAAAAAAAAAACAACAGCUUCAUCCAAAAAGCUUCACCCGAAAAGCUUCACCUCCAAAGCUUCACCCACAAAGCUUCACCUAAAAAGCUUCACCCAAAAAGCUUCACCCGAAAAGCUUCACCUCCAAAGCUUCACCCACAAAAGCUUCACCUAAAAAGCUUCACCCACAAAGCUUCACCCAAAAAAAAAACUUCACCCGAAAAGCUUCACUUAAAAAAGCUUCACCUACAAAGCUUCACCUAAAAAAGCUUCACCUAGAAAGCUCCAUCUACAUACUUUCACCAUCAAAGCUUCACCAUCAAAGCUUCACCUAGAAAGCUUCAUCUACAAAGCUUAACCAUCAAAGCUUCACCUAGAAAGCUUCAACACCAAAGCUUCACCUACAA
Molecule: long non-coding RNA, 411 nt
Filed under: Malus domestica (apple)
Lineage: Eukaryota; Viridiplantae; Streptophyta; Magnoliopsida; Rosales; Rosaceae
Description: long non-coding RNA (MDOM_LNC008034)
Source: RNAcentral